GAAGCAUCCUGUUAAGUCAGGCAACGAACGAAGGCCCGGUUGCCCACUGUUACCAGCAUAUCCUCCGGGAUGAUGGGUACUCUGUGGGGGACCGCCGGGUGUUAAAUCGGAGGAAGGUGCGGGCCACGGUAGGUCAGUAUGCCCCGAAUUUCCCGGGCUACACGCGGGCUACAAUGAAUGGGACAAUGGGUCCCUCCCCUGAAAAGGGCUGGUAAUCUCACAAACCCAUCCUUAGUUCGGAUCGAGGGCUGUAACUCGCCCUCGUGAAGCUGGAAUCCGUAGUAAUCGCGUUUCAAUAUAGCGCGGUGAAUACGUCCCUGCUCCUUGCACACACCGCCCGUCAAACCACCCGAGUGAGGUAUGGGUGAGGGCACGAACUCUGUGUCGUGUUCGAACCUGUGCUUUGCAAGGGGGGUUAAGUCGUAACAAGGUAGCCG
This 437-nucleotide ribosomal RNA is filed under the name uncultured archaeon. RNAcentral describes it as "bacterial SSU rRNA". It matches the Rfam family "Archaeal small subunit ribosomal RNA", at positions 1018 to 1449 of the family's 1478-position model. The record is from RNAcentral.